CUGGUCCGUACAGCGCUGCAGGUCUUGUUUUGCAGCGGUUACCAGAAUAGCAGUAUUUUAUUCUAUUUCACACAUAUUGGCAGCCUCAUUGUGGGUCAUCUGAAAAGUCUUUGUGAUAUUGUCUCUGCACACUAGAUACAUACAUGAACUUGUAAGUGCUCCGUAAGUGUGAGAGAGAAGGUUUGCUUUUCAGAAAUCCCAUUCUUGAUUAGACCCUUGCUGCUGAGAUUGAGAUAUGCCAACAGUUUAAAACUAUCUGGCGACGCGCUGAUGCGGCUCUAAUGAUAAGCUUCUCUUGAGAAAUAGUCACCACACUUUUCACACACAGACAAUCCACUCACACUUCCUGUUCGUGUAAAUGAGAAACCACUGUCCUCAUUACUAAGGAGACAGGAACAAGAAGAAGACGACAUUUAAUGCUGGGAAACUUUUACGUGUUACUCAUGGUGGGGGGCUGACACUUAACAUCCCCGUGAAGCAAAAUCCUGGAACGUGUUGGCCUUGCUCCAAAUCCAUGUUACGGGCAAAUCCAUGUUUUCUACGUGUUAACCAGCACCUGCCUCCCCCUGCUGGGAUGAGUAACCUACAGCAGGCAGAGCCUCAUACUAAAACUCAUGAAUUAUAUUCUUGAAACAAUAUUCAAGAAGUUUGUCAUUUUGUGUGUUUCAGUGCUGAUUUUUAAGAUGUAUACCAGACCUACAGUAAGAUUAAGAUUAGGAUUCACCCUCUGGAACUGUGAAUAUCUGUCACGUUUUCUAUCUCACCAUCGGCAUAUCUUCGAGCCUCUCAAAAUUGGAUCUCGGCGAUCGGAUACAUUUCACUGUGAGUACCACGAGAACGAGGGCGAGGACGAUACAGAAGAUGCAAAUGAUAGCGACUAGGCCGGGGUUUGACGCCAGGUCAUCUUUUUCCCAGUCGGGUGAAAAACCUGAGGGGGAGACAAACAGAGAAACGAUGAGAUAAACAAAUGCAAUAUUUGCUGGACACAGCUGAAAUUAUACUAAUAUGCAGCCUUCCAAAAACUUAUGAUCAUGAUAACAGAGCUGAUCAGAGAAGUCAGGGACCUCCGUGAGAAGUUCAGAGCCUUCCGUUAAUCCUGCAGCACUGACCCUGUUCAUGCUAGGGUAUUGCCUCUGGAUUAGCCAUUUAACAACAUAGACGAAAUGAACUGCAAUGACCGGAGGCAAAUAAAGCAAUGAUGGUCUGACUCAGCGGGUGGGGGUAAACGCUGUUUCUGAGUUUGCCUUCGCCCAAGCAGUGCAGAAAUGUCUCCGCUACCCUUCAGAAAACAUGGGUGGUGCAGGAUGCCUGAUAUCCAGUUUGAUCCCAGAGUAAACUAAAAAAAAUAAGUGACCUGUAUCCAAU
Astatotilapia calliptera (eastern happy) is the source of this 1365-nucleotide long non-coding RNA. The record is from Ensembl. NCBI's taxonomy places the organism in Eukaryota, Metazoa, Chordata, Actinopteri, Cichliformes, Cichlidae.